This 392-nucleotide unclassified non-coding RNA is filed under the name fungal sp. RNAcentral's name for it is "partial internal transcribed spacer region". The stretch from base 1 to 46 matches the Rfam family "Eukaryotic small subunit ribosomal RNA", at positions 1786 to 1831 of the family's 1831-position model. The record is from RNAcentral. Lineage: Eukaryota; Fungi.
AAGUCGUAACAAGGUCUCCGUAGGUGAACCUGCGGAGGGAUCAUUAACACGUAUCCAAACACGUUCAAACCCAAACCGUGCUCCUAUUAUCGCCUAUACGGGAAAGGUGACUCGUAAGCCACAGAUGGAUUCUCUCUUUGGCAACAAAGAGAGUCUGCUUGCAGUCUACGGUCCCUUGAGACCAGCCAAUCUCUUAUAGCGUAUUCCUUUAAGCCAUCUGGUUACUAGUGCCACCCCGAUUUCGACUCGGAGCCUAGUAGCCUUAUUGAACCUCCCAACACAUUUUUUUACCCCUUUCUUUUAUAAAACUUAACUGACUUCUUAUAAUCCUGUAAUGGGAUUAUAUGUAUACGAAACGCGAACAACUCUUAGCAAUGGAUAUCUUGGUUCUC